GGGCCCGUGGGGUAGCUUGGUAUCCUUCAGGCUUUGGGAGCCUGUGACCCGCGUUCAAAUCGCGGCGGGCCCA
This 73-nucleotide transfer RNA is filed under the name Thermoplasmatales archaeon. RNAcentral's name for it is "tRNA-Pro". It matches the Rfam family "tRNA". From Rfam's summary of the family: Transfer RNA (tRNA) molecules are approximately 80 nucleotides in length. Their secondary structure includes four short double-helical elements and three loops (D, anti-codon, and T loops). Further hydrogen bonds mediate the characteristic L-shaped molecular structure. tRNAs have two regions of fundamental functional importance: the anti-codon, which is responsible for specific mRNA codon recognition, and the 3' end, to which the tRNAs corresponding amino acid is attached (by aminoacyl-tRNA synthetases). tRNAs cope with the degeneracy of the genetic code in two manners: having more than one tRNA (with a specific anti-codon) for a particular amino acid; and 'wobble' base-pairing, i.e. permitting non-standard base-pairing at the 3rd anti-codon position. Lineage: Archaea; Methanobacteriati; Thermoplasmatota; Thermoplasmata; Thermoplasmatales. RNAcentral also lists the same sequence under 1 other name. The record is from RNAcentral.